Molecule: ribosomal RNA, 329 nt
Filed under: Spermophora sp. DNA100446433
Lineage: Eukaryota; Metazoa; Arthropoda; Arachnida; Araneae; Pholcidae
Description: partial 12S ribosomal RNA
Source: RNAcentral
AUUUAAAUACCUUAAGUAGUAAUACAGAUAAAACUAUUAUAAUAUGGCGGUUUCAUUAUUAUUAGAGAAACUCGCUUUAUAAUCGAUAAUUCCCGAUAAAUUUCACUUUUUAUAUAAAGUUUAUAUACCGCCGUUUAAAGAAUUUAUUAAAAAAUAAAACUCGCAAAUCAUUUAAAACGAAAAAAUCAGGUCAAGGUGUAAUCAAUUAAUAAGUACAAGUAAGUUACACUAAAAACAAUUUAAGGAAUAAUUAUAAAAAUAUAACCAAAAAAGAAUUUAUAAGUACAUUUAAAUUAAAAUUUAAAAUCGAAAAUAUAUAAAUGAAAUGU